This 1356-nucleotide long non-coding RNA is filed under the name Zea mays. RNAcentral describes it as "long non-coding RNA (ZMAY_LNC001150)". Lineage: Eukaryota; Viridiplantae; Streptophyta; Magnoliopsida; Poales; Poaceae. The record is from RNAcentral.
GAGCUGCAGGAGCCAUUCAUGAUUGCAGAUAGAUUGCUGUUCCUAUCAAAAGGAUCCACAAGGUAACAACCACCCAUGCACUCUUCUUCCAUUCAUUUGGCGGUCGCAAGAAAGAGAGGUCUCCAAAGAUGUUUGGAGAAGGUUGAACUUGGUUGCUAGCAGCACUCAUCUUCCUUUUCUUGUCCUCUUGUUCCUUGAUUUUGUCACUCCAUGUUCCAGCAUACCUGAUUCACAUAACAAGUAUCAUGAUAUAGGUAAGAUAUUAAUGAGAUUGUGAAUAUCUCUACAUUGCUUGAAAUGAAAUCACGGGGAUAGGAAAGCAGCAUCAAUCAAAAAAAUGAAAAGGGUUCCAUCGAAGGGCAUGCUUUGCAGCUGUUUAGAAUGAUGGUAACUAUCUCCACUCCAGUUUAAGCAUUUAAAACGAUGUAUAGUAGCUAAAGAAUGAUGUAUGACAGCUAAAGAAUUAUGCACAGUAGCUAAAUCAGGGGGUAAGAACAGGUCAUAGGUUCUAGGAUUUAUAUAUAGUUGCUAAAGGGUGAUGUCAACAAAGAUAAUCAGGUAGUUGUAUCUUCUCUAUGGAAAGAUGUGUAAAGAAACAAUGAAAAAACUAGAGAUUUUUACAAGCUGAAGGGUUCACCAUUCAGCUUCAGUCAAAAAGAGAAUGAUAUAGGAAUAAACACCAUACGAGUGAGAUUUCAAGCAGAUCACAAGCGCCAUACAGGCAAAAAUAUACAGAAAAUAAAUUCCAGAGCCAUAUGGCAUAAGGCACCAACUAAUUUAUGCUCACGCGCACAGAAAGUAAAUUCCAGAGCCAAAUGGCAUAGAGACAGGGAAGGGAAUUAGCAGAGUCUCGAAUAGAUAACUAACCAAUCCCAGCUGCUCCCAAUUUGUGGUAUUGUGACCACCUCGUCAUUUGAUAUCUUCAACUUGGGUGCCUCUAAAAUGUAUCUAAGCUCAGCUGCCUGGCGCCUGAUGUUGAUCAUGGGGUGGCUACUCUCCAACUCUUUGUACAAUGCAAUGCAAUCCUUGUGCCUCCUAUUGGCUUCAUAUGCCAUUGCAAGCCAAAUUUGGAUCUAGAAGAAGAUACACGCUAUAUAUCACAAAGAUGUCUACAGGAUUUUAGCCAUAGACUACAUCACAAAGAUACCUACAGAAUUCAACUCACUCAAAAGACAUUAUUUGGCAUGAAAACUACUGAAAUCUCAACUGCAGAGAUACUACCUCGCCACCGAGUAGAGAGGAGGGACGUAUGAUAGUGAGCGCAGCCUCCAAGAAUUCAAUUGAUCGUCCAUACAUUCCUUUCCCGUACGCCUUUUGACCCAACUCAAACAUUUGCUUCGCCGUCUCCCUCCUCUC